RNAcentral lists this ribosomal RNA (383 nucleotides) under uncultured eukaryote. Its description in RNAcentral is "partial 18S ribosomal RNA". It matches the Rfam family "Eukaryotic small subunit ribosomal RNA", at positions 592 to 976 of the family's 1831-position model. The record is from RNAcentral.
CAAUAGCGUAUAUUAAAGUUGUUGCAGUUAAAAAGCUCGUAGUUGGAUUUCUGGUGGGAGCGAUCGGUCUGGCGCUUAGCGCGAGUACUUGCAUCGUCUCCGGCCAUCCUUGGGGAAAGUCUGUCUGGCAUUAAGUUGUCGGGCAGAGGAUCCUCAUCGUUUACUGUGAAAAAAUUAGAGUGUUCAAAGCAGGCUUAUGCCGUUGAAUAUAUUAGCAUGGAAUAAUAAGAUAGGACUUUGGUACUAUUUUGUUGGUUUGCGAACCAAAGUAAUGAUUAAUAGGGACAGUUGGGGGUAUUCGUAUUCCGUUGUCAGAGGUGAAAUUCUUGGAUUUACGGAAGACGAACUACUGCGAAAGCAUUUACCAAGGAUGUUUUCAUUAA